GUCAAAGUUGGCAUGUGAUAUGGUGAAUGGAUCCGGUGAAUGGUUCAGCAAGUCUUCAAAAAAGAAUAGAUACGAUUGCAUUGCAUAUACUAACGGAUGCGAUCAUAACAGCACUAAUGCACCGGAUCCCAUCAGAACUCCGCAGUUAAGCGUGCUUGGGCGAGAGUAGUACUAGGAUGGGUGACCUCCCGGGAAGUCCUCGUGUUGCAUCCCUCUUUUUUUUUUUUUUUUUUUUGGUUAAAACUUUAUGACUCCAUAACUUAUAGACAG
This 270-nucleotide ribosomal RNA is filed under the name Arabidopsis thaliana (thale cress). The record is from RNAcentral. Lineage: Eukaryota; Viridiplantae; Streptophyta; Magnoliopsida; Brassicales; Brassicaceae.